Molecule: ribosomal RNA, 516 nt
Filed under: uncultured bacterium
Lineage: Bacteria
Description: bacterial SSU rRNA
Rfam family: Bacterial small subunit ribosomal RNA
Source: RNAcentral
GGUUCAGAACGAACGCUGGCGGCGUGCUAACACAUGCAAGUCGAACGCGAAAGGGACUUCGGUCCUGAGUAAAGUGGCGCACGGGUGAGUAACGCGUAGAUAACCUGUCUUCAUGUCUGGAAUAAUACGCCGAAAGGGGUACUAAUACCGGAUAUUCUUGCUUUUCAUAAGUUAUGCAAGCAAAGGUGGCCUCUGCAUAUGCUACUGCAUGAAGAGGGGUCUGCGUACCAUUAGCUAGUAGGUGGGGUAAUGGCCUACCUAGGCGACGAUGGUUAGCGGGUCUGAGAGGAUGAUCCGCCACACUGGCACUGGAACACGGGCCAGACUCCUACGGGAGGCAGCAGUGAGGAAUAUUGCGCAAUGGGGGAAACCCUGACGCAGCGACGCCGCGUGAGUGAGGAAGGCCUUCGGGUCGUAAAGCUCUGUCAAGAGGAAAGAAGUGUACAAUGGCUAGUACCUGUUGUAUUUGACGGUACCCCUAAAGGAAGCACCGGCUAACUCCGUGCCAGCAGCCGC